Non-coding RNA from Daphnia pulex (common water flea), 1602 nucleotides. The record is from Rfam. Lineage: Eukaryota; Metazoa; Arthropoda; Branchiopoda; Diplostraca; Daphniidae.
UACUCCGCUCCAUAGCGUAUAUUAAAGUUGUUGCGGUUAAAAAGCUCGUAGUCGGAUGUCUGUCUUCGGCCGGGCGGCGCCGCUCUGAAUCAAGGGUGUUGCGUUUCACGCUCUGGGAGCCCGGGUGUCAAAGCCCGACUCUCUUCACGGUCGGACAACAUCGCCGGAGUGGUGGUCGGUGCGUCGUUGUUGUAUCUGCGGCCAGAGUUGGAAAGUUCUUUCGGGUUCUUUUUUAAUUUUGGUCGUAGUUGACUCGAUUCGCUCCACCCAGUCAAUCGUUCGGGGUGCCCUUCACCGGGUGUCUCGGGCGGCCGGCAACGUUUACUUUGAACAAAUUAGAGUGCUCAAAGCAGGUGUAUCCCAACGCCUGAAUAUCGCAGCAUGGAAUGAUGGAAUAGGACCUCGGUCCGAUUUUGCUGGUCUUUUACUUUUGGACCCGAGGUAAUGGUCAAUAGAGACGGACGGGGGCAUUCGUACUGCGGCGACAGAGGUGAAAUUCUUGGACCGCCGCAAGACGAACAACAGCGAAGGCAUUUGCCAAGAAUGUUUUCCUUGAUCAAGAACGAAAGUUAGAGGUUCGAAGGCGAUCAGAUACCGCCCUAGUUCUAACCAUAAACGAUGCCAACCAGCAAUCCGUCGGAGUUACUCCAAUGACUCGACGGGCAGCUUCCGGGAAACCAAAGUCUUUGGGUUCCGGGGGAAGUAUGGUUGCAAAGCUGANACUUAAAGGAAUUGACGGAAGGGCACCACCAGGAGUGGAGCCUGCGGCUUAAUUUGACUCAACACGGGAAACCUCACCAGGCCCGGACACUGGAAGGAUUGACAGAUUGAGAGCUCUUUCUUGAUUCGGUGGGUGGUGGUGCAUGGCCGUUCUUAGUUGGUGGAGCGAUUUGUCUGGUUAAUUCCGAUAACGAACGAGACUCUAGCCUGCUAAAUAGGUGACGGGUUUUAUCAAUUGAAACCGAAGGGAGUACGGAGGCGUCGGGAUCAGGUGGCGGCGAUUCGGGUCUCGGUGGGACUGGUUCCUUUAGUGAGGCAAUCUCUCGGCUUGGUUUCGUUGUGCUUUGUUCGUCGGGUGUACGGCCUUCACGGGUUGGUUGCCUGGCGGAUGAGGUAUGGCGGGGCUUUGUCGGGAAUGUCUCGCGGGGGCUGGCUCUAUUGUUAUUCGGUCGUCGUCAUCCCCGGCGAUACCUUCUGCUCUCGCGUCCGUCACGCAGUCUUCUUAGAGGGACAAGCGGCGUCCAGCCGCGUGACAGUGAGCAAUAACAGGUCUGUGAUGCCCUUAGAUGUCCUGGGCCGCACGCGCGCUACACUGAAGGAAUCAGCGUGUUUCACUCUCCCUGUCCGAAAGGACCGGGUAACCGCUGAACCUCCUUCGUGGUUGGGAUUGGGGACUGCAAUGAUCCCCAUGAACCAGGAAUCCCUAGUAGGCGCGGGUCACUAGCCCGCGUCGAUUACGUCCCUGCCCUUUGUACACACCGCCCGUCGCUACUACCGAUUGAAUGAUUUAGUGAGGCCUUCGGACGGGCUUGUCGGGGUGCCGUCGAGUGGGGAGCAAUCUCUGCCCGUGCGGUGCCUACCAACGGCGAGACUGAAAGAUGG